UGGGGGAUAUUGCGCAAUGGGCGAAAGCCUGACGCAGCGACGCCGCGUGGGUGAUGAAGGCCUUCGGGUCGUAAAGCCCUGUCGAGAGGGACGAAUCGGCCUCGACCUAACACGUCGAGGCCCUGACGGUACCUCUAAAGGAAGCACCGGCUAACUCCGUGCCAGCAGCCGCGGUAAUACGGAGGGUGCUAGCGUUGUUCGGAAUCACUGGGCGUAAAGCGCGUGUAGGCGGUCCACUAAGUCUGGUGUGAAAGCCCGGGGCUCACCUCCGGAAGUGCACUGGAAACUGAUGGACUGGAGUCCCGGAGAGGAGGGUAGAAUUCCUGGUGUAGCGGUGAAAUGCGUAGAUAUCAGGAGGAAUACCGGUGGCGAAGGCGGCCCUCUGGACGGUGACUGACGCUGAGACGCGAAAGCGUGGGGAGCAAACAGGAUUAGAUACCCUGGUAGUCCACGCCGUAAACGAUGAGCACUAGGUGUCGCGGGUAUUGACCCCUGCGGUGCCGCCG
This 506-nucleotide ribosomal RNA is filed under the name uncultured Pseudomonadota bacterium. RNAcentral describes it as "bacterial SSU rRNA". It matches the Rfam family "Bacterial small subunit ribosomal RNA", at positions 355 to 851 of the family's 1533-position model. Lineage: Bacteria; Pseudomonadati; Pseudomonadota. The record is from RNAcentral.